Molecule: ribosomal RNA, 465 nt
Filed under: Vreelandella stevensii
Lineage: Bacteria; Pseudomonadati; Pseudomonadota; Gammaproteobacteria; Oceanospirillales; Halomonadaceae
Description: partial 16S ribosomal RNA
Rfam family: Bacterial small subunit ribosomal RNA
Source: RNAcentral
CCUACGGGAGGCUGCAGUGGGGAAUAUUGGACAAUGGGCGAAAGCCUGAUCCAGCCAUGCCGCGUGUGUGAAGAAGGCCUUCGGGUUGUAAAGCACUUUCAGUGGGGAAGAAAGCCUUGGGGCUAAUACCCUCGAGGAAGGACAUCACCCACAGAAGAAGCACCGGCUAACUCCGUGCCAGCAGCCGCGGUAAUACGGAGGGUGCGAGCGUUAAUCGGAAUUACUGGGCGUAAAGCGCGCGUAGGCGGUCUGAUAAGCCGGUUGUGAAAGCCCCGGGCUCAACCCGGGAACGGCAUCCGGAACUGUCAGGCUAGAGUGCAGGAGAGGAAGGUAGAAUUCCCGGUGUAGCGGUGAAAUGCGUAGAGAUCGGGAGGAAUACCAGUGGCGAAGGCGGCCUUCUGGACUGACACUGACGCUGAGGUGCGAAAGCGUGGGUAGCAAACAGGAUUAGAUACCCGGGUAGUC